GUCUCGGUAUUUCAGUCGGCAGAGCGCGUGCCUUUUAAGCCCGUGGCCGCGGGUUCGAGCCCCGCCCGAGGUG
Non-coding RNA from Perkinsus marinus ATCC 50983, 73 nucleotides. The record is from Rfam. NCBI's taxonomy places the organism in Eukaryota, Perkinsozoa, Perkinsida, Perkinsidae.